CCGUCUCAGUUCGGAUUGUACUCUGCAACUCGAGUGCAUGAAGUUGGAAUCGCUAGUAAUCGCGGAUCAGCAUGCCGCGGUGAAUACGUUCCCGGGCCUUGUACACACCGCCCGUCACACCAUGGGAGUUGGCUUUACCCGAAGGCGCUGUGCUAACCGCAAGGAGGCAGGCGACCACGGUAGGGUCAGCGACUGGGGUGAAGUCGUAACAAGGUAGCCGUAGGGGAACCUGCGGCUGGAUCACCUCCUUU
This 251-nucleotide ribosomal RNA is filed under the name Saprospiraceae bacterium. Its description in RNAcentral is "partial 16S ribosomal RNA". It matches the Rfam family "Bacterial small subunit ribosomal RNA", at positions 1283 to 1533 of the family's 1533-position model. Lineage: Bacteria; Pseudomonadati; Bacteroidota; Saprospiria; Saprospirales; Saprospiraceae. The record is from RNAcentral.